RNAcentral lists this ribosomal RNA (450 nucleotides) under uncultured bacterium. RNAcentral's name for it is "bacterial SSU rRNA". It matches the Rfam family "Bacterial small subunit ribosomal RNA", at positions 29 to 524 of the family's 1533-position model. The record is from RNAcentral.
AACGAACGCUGGCGGCAGGCCUAACACAUGCAAGUCGAACGCCCGUAGCAAUACGGGAGCGGCAGACGGGUGAGUAACGCGUGGGAACGUGCCCUUCGGUUCGGAAUAACUCAGGGAAACUUGAGCUAAUACCGGAUACGUCCGUAAGGAGAAAGAUUUAUCGCCGAAGGAUCGGCCCGCGUCGGAUUAGCUAGUUGGUGAGGUAACGGCCCACCAAGGCGACGAUCCGUAGCUGGUCUGAGAGGANGAUCAGCCACACUGGGACUGAGACACGGCCCAGACUCCUACGGGAGGCAGCAGUGGGAAUAUUGGACAAUGGGCGAAAGCCUGAUCCAGCCAUGCCGCGUGAGUGAAGAAGGCCUUAGGGUUGUAAAGCUCUUUCAGCGGGAAGAUAAUGACGGUACCCGCAGAAGAAGCCCCGGCUAACUUCGUGCCAGCCGCCGCCGUAAG